GUAUGAAACUAAACCAAACCGAAUAUUUGAAUAAUAUAUAAUAAUAUAAUUUCCUCAUUCCAAUGAAUAUUUUAUAUUGUUUGAUAUAAUAACUCCACAUAUAGAUGGUUUUGAUAACUAUGUAGAAAAUAGUCUGGCUUCAAAAAUAUCCUGACAAAUUCGAGACUUGUCCUAGGCAGUCUCCAAGAUGGACCUUAAUGAUUCACCUCCUAGUAUUUAUGCCUUUGUAGGCAUAGGGCUGACACAUGCAACCAAUAGAGUGAGGAAUUGGUGUUAUGUGACUUCUGAGGCUAAGGUCAUAAGCGAUAUUGCAGCUUCCUCUUUGCUCCUUCUUGGCUUACUCACUCUGGCAGAAAUCAGCCAUCAUGUUAUGAGAAUACUCAGGAAACCUCUGGAAAGGUCCACGUAGCAAAGAAUGCAGGCCUCCUGCCAAGAUCCUGCUCUCACUUGCCAGCCUUGUGAAUGAGCCGUCCUGGAAGCUUAUUGUCCAACACCUUAGUCAGGCUUGCAGAAGCUGUGACAACAUCCUGAUUGCAACCUCAUGAGAGACCAUGAUCCAGAACCACUCAGCUAAGCUGUUCCCAAAUUCCUGGCCUGCAAAAAGGCGAUGGCUGCGUCAUCGAAUGAAAUCCUUACAGCAUUUAAUUCUGUGUUCUGCAAACCAUGCACACCCAUAAAAGGUUGAUUCACUGAGCUGGAGUGGAAGUGGGGAGCUGCAAUGAAGUAGGAGGGAGAGGAAAGGAACCAAGCAUGUCAAAUGCAGAAAAGUGCAAGUGAUCCGUCCAUACAUUAGAGACCAAAAGAAUCCAGCUGAGGACCUGGAUCCCAUGGCAAUGUCCCACAUGAGUCCAGCCGAAGACUUAGAGCCCAUGGCAGUUGUCUCUUGCAAUGUCUCUGCGUCAAGGAUCUGUGCUGGGAAGGUCCGAAGGUCAGUGGUGGAAGCUAGAAAGUCUUCACCUGGGGGAUGAAAGCGCUGUGCCAGCAGGCUAAGGGAUCUGCACUGGAACCAGGAAGGAACACCUAAGAUGAAGAAGAGGAACAUCCAGAAAUCAAAGUCUGUAUAGGGCAGAAAUUGUCUUGCUCUUUCUUUACAUAUGCUUGGUGGGCCAGAGUUGAAACAGCCAGACCUUUAGGGCUAAGUAAAAGUGACAUUUGAAUAAAGGCCAAAAGGAAGUGAGAGGAUGAACGGUGCAAACAUCUGGGGAAAGCGCAUUUUUGGGAGAAUUGCAAAGACCAUGGUUGUGAGUAUAACCGUAUUCUCCUAAAAGGUAGUUUGAAGUCUUGCUAAUCCCUAGCACCUGUGAAAUGCAACUUUAUUUCUAAGCAGCAUCUCUGCAGAUGUAAUCAAGUUAGGAUGAGGUCACUAGAGUGGGCUCCAACCCACCAUGAUUGGUGUUUUUAUAAGAGGAAACAGAGCAGAGACGCACAGGAGAAUGCCAUGUGAUGAUGGAGGAGAGAUUGGAAUGAUACAGCCGCAAGCCCAGGAAUGCCAAGAAUUGACAGCCACCACCAGCAGCUAGGAAGAGGAUCCAGGACCAAGAACUGUGAAGUCACCAACCAUGGAAUUCAGGGCCCUGGACUGCACAUAAUAGCAGUUGAUUCUCGCUACUUCAAUCAAAAUAGGGAUUUAUUAGAGGAAUAUCAGGGAGAUCUCAGAAAUGAUAGGAAAGCAAGAGAGUCAAGCUUGGAAAAGGUACAGGAACCAAAAGAGAGUCACAGGUACCUCAAGUCCAGUGUUUUCCAUCAAAUUGCCAGUCCUUGUUUCAGUGAUAAUGGGAAUGAAAACUAAAGCAUGAACUUGCAGGAAAAGGCUUUAAUUGAUGGAAAAGAAAAGGCCAAAAGGUGUAGCUGAGAGGGAACAAAAUUUAAAACAUCUGAAGUUUAAAAUAUUUGAAAUUGCUACUACGUGGUUGCAGGACUGGCCAAGUCUUUCAACUUAGAUAUGAAUUUGAAGGAUUGCUCUAUAUGACUUCCAAGACAACAUCAAACUCAGACUAAGUGCCACAUGAGCGUGGAAAUGGAACAAACACAGGACUUCAUGACUUCCAGACAAGCUACAUAGAUGUCAGCCUAUGACAUCAAAAGAAGUGGCAGCCAGGCAUGGUGGCACACUCCUGUGAUCUCAGCACUCAGGAGGCUGAGGCAGGAAGAUCCUGUGAGUUUGAGGCCAGCCUAAACUGUAUAACAAAACCUUUUCUCAAAAAGCCAAAAUGGGGAGCAAUUCAAUCUCCAAGUCCCCUAGUGUGCAUUAAUAGAGUGAAUGGGACUAUUUAUGUAAAGGUCUAAUGAGAAUCAUAAUAAACUUUUUUCCUUAGAAUUUGAUUUACAA
Chinchilla lanigera (long-tailed chinchilla) is the source of this 2329-nucleotide long non-coding RNA. RefSeq lists it as uncharacterized. The transcript has 9 exons. Lineage: Eukaryota; Metazoa; Chordata; Mammalia; Rodentia; Chinchillidae. The record is from RefSeq and is a predicted model, not a curated record.